Pelobates cultripes (western spadefoot toad) is the source of this 106-nucleotide non-coding RNA. NCBI's taxonomy places the organism in Eukaryota, Metazoa, Chordata, Amphibia, Anura, Pelobatidae. The record is from the annotation of a GenBank genome assembly.
GUUUUAGUAUGUGUGUGUGUUAGUAUGUCUGUGUCAAUAUGUCUGUGUGUGUCUAUGACAGACAUACUGACAUACACACACAGACACACUGACAUACACACACACA